RNAcentral lists this ribosomal RNA (465 nucleotides) under uncultured Klebsiella sp. RNAcentral's name for it is "bacterial SSU rRNA". It matches the Rfam family "Bacterial small subunit ribosomal RNA", at positions 338 to 795 of the family's 1533-position model. Lineage: Bacteria; Pseudomonadati; Pseudomonadota; Gammaproteobacteria; Enterobacterales; Enterobacteriaceae. The record is from RNAcentral.
CCUACGGGCGGCUGCAGUGGGGAAUAUUGCACAAUGGGCGCAAGCCUGAUGCAGCCAUGCCGCGUGUGUGAAGGAGGCCUUCGGGUUGUAAAGCACUUUCAGCGGGGAGGAAGGCGUUAAGGUUAAUAACCUUGUCGAUUGACGUUACCCGCAGAAGAAGCACCGGCUAACUCCGUGCCAGCAGCCGCGGUAAUACGGAGGGUGCAAGCGUUAAUCGGAAUUACUGGGCGUAAAGCGCACGCAGGCGGUCUGUCAAGUCGGAUGUGAAAUCCCCGGGCUCAACCUGGGAACUGCAUUCGAAACUGGCAGGCUAGAGUCUUGUAGAGGGGGGUAGAAUUCCAGGUGUAGCGGUGAAAUGCGUAGAGAUCUGGAGGAAUACCGGUGGCGAAGGCGGCCCCCUGGACAAAGACUGACGCUCAGGUGCGAGAGCGUGGGGAGCAAACAGGAUUAGAUACCCGAGUAGUC